UUGCCAUGAUAGCUUUAGACAGUUGCAGCAAGUUUGUCAGCUGCGAGCUCUUUCAUGGUGUUA
Molecule: microRNA precursor, 63 nt
Filed under: Oreochromis niloticus (Nile tilapia)
Lineage: Eukaryota; Metazoa; Chordata; Actinopteri; Cichliformes; Cichlidae
Description: microRNA oni-mir-10639 precursor
Source: miRBase by way of RNAcentral